AAUUUUCUUAUUUCUAACCUGAGAAUAAUUAAACAUUAACUCUCCCUAUAGCCAAAAAAACCAUGGCCAAGCUUAACGUUAUUAUGGUGUCUUUUGUUAUUCUAGUUGUGGCGAGUACAUGUAUUCCUUCAUUAGCUGUAGAGGAAAAUGAGCCCAAAAAGUUAUGGAAUCAAUGUGUUGUUAAAAUCAGUCUAAAGUGUGCGCUCAAUAUCAUUUCUCAAGUUUUUGGUAGUGGAGUUGUAUCCAUUCCUUGUUGCCAGGAGCUUGUAAAAGAAGGAAAAGAGUGUCAUGACACCCUUGUCAAAUAUAUCGCGGAAAGACCUAGUUUAAUCGGAAACGAAUCCAAAUAUUUACAGAAAAGAGAUGAAGUAUGGGCUCAUUGUGUGUCUAUUUCAAAAUCGUUAUCACCGGCUUAACUAUAUUAUGACGUAAUUAUAUGUAAUUUUUGAUAAAAUAAUUUUUAUUUGCUUACAAGUUCAAAAUAAAAUCAUUUAUAUACAUGUGACAUUUAUUAUUUACCGUCUUGUGUUGCAUGCUUUCUUUAGCAUUAUUUUAUUCUUUUCGAAUACCAAAUAAAGAGGUAUAGCUCAAAAUAAAAAAAAAAUAGUAUUUAAAUUUUUUUAUGAACUCCCAAUUUUAAUUAGCUUAAAUAAGAAAAUAUCAAAAAGCAGAUUUUAUUUGUAAGCACAAGACUCUAGUCUUUCACAGCUCCAUAAGAUCGCAACAUACUUAUUACACUUAAAAUAUAUCUUGCUAUUAGCCGCACAACGUUUUCAAGAUUAAAUUUUAGAGUUUAAAAAAUAUUUACAUAUGUUUUUUUUUAAUUCAGCAAAUUAUAUUCUGAAGUAUGAUUUGAAAAACGAACCAAAUACAAAGGUAGUUGCAUCUCAAAACAGUACUACAAUAAAGCAUUUUAAAAAGGUCCAUUUUUUACUAAAGUGUCUCAUUCAGAAAUAUAUAUUUUAAUUCCUUAAUUUAUGUAUGUAUAUUCCUUAAUUUAUGUAUGCAUGGAUACUUUGGUACAUUUGGAAAGGUAGAAAUAAUAAGGUUUUCAGUAAUUUGGACAUGGAUCCUAUGGACACGCUAAAAUUGGCUGAAACAGAAUCCACAUUGUGGGCUGAGGCACAAGUAAAGAAUGAUCAGAGGAUACCAUUACCAUCAGCAGCUACGGUACUGCCGGCGAUCCCAGGAAGAUGGUGUUUUACGGAUGGCUCGUGGAAGGAGGGUUUUAAUUUUUCAGGACAAGGUUGGUUCAGUACUCUGGAAGGUUUUGAUGGUUUGUUGGGGGCUCGAAAUGUGAGGGCUACUCUCUCGCCUCUCCAUGCAGAAAUGGAAGCAUUAUUAUGGGCAAUGGAAUGUAUUGUUUAAUAUUAACUUUACUUGCGAAAUAUAUCUAGUUAUUAAACUUUUAGGUAAGUCAUAAACUCAUAAAAUCUAAUAUCGCUAGCUUAACUUUGAAACAUCGUUUUCAUUUUUUAUUUUGUUUUUAUAAAACAAGUUAUUAUAUGGAUUUUUACAUAUUAUUUUGGAUAAAGAAUUGAAAUUUGUAAAAUUUUAUCCCGAUGGAGUCAUGUUUACCUCGUAGCAAUCUCUCAGCAUAAUGAAAUUACAAAAUGAGAAAGAUAAAAUUAUUGACAAGGGCGCUACAUCACGGAACAAAAAGAAAAUAUUAAAUCUGAAACUCUUUUUAACCUCUGAGUGAUAUACGCUGAUAAAUACUCAGAUAUUAAUAUUAGAAUCAUUUUUGAGACUGAUCACAUGUUAGACUGUACUUUUGGUUUUUGAUUUUUUUUUUUUGACAGCAAACAUUUACAGACUCAUGUAGACUCUGUAAACCAAGGUGGUGACUUUGCGUCCAUGUGCACGACGAAAGACGGUUGUUUCCUAGUACUAUGUGCCAAGCUAUCCGCCCUUAUGUUCUCCGUCCUAGAAACAUGAACAAUAUCUGAGUUGACGAAACUGCAUCGCAAAAGCUUAAUAUCCUCCAAGUAGCUAUCAAAUGCUGGUCAUUCCUCUGAUUCCGAAACCAUCUUCACCAAUUGGGAAGAAUCCGUCGCAAACGUAACCUGAAACUGCCUUAAGUUUCUCAUACAUUCCAUUGUCCAAAUUAGAGCCUCUAUCUCCGAAUGAAGAGGUGAGAGGCAUGCCCUUACAUUCCUUGCUCCCAAUAAACCAUCAAACCCUGGUAACGUAAUGAACCAUCCUUGUCCUGAAAAAACAUCCUUGUCUUUCCAAGAACCGUCUGUGAAACACCAUCUUCUUGUGGUUCCUAAAUCCGGCCUAGCCUGUACUUCCCGUGUCAACCUAUGAUCCUUAAUGACAUGUGUCCCAGCCCACAGUGUUGAUUCAACUUCUGCUAAACGGAGCGUUUCCCUCGGAUCAACAUCCAGGUUACUAAACACUUUGUUGUUCCGGCCCUUCCAAAUGUACCAUAAUAUCCAGGCAAAGUGAUGAUCCUCCAUUUUUGGGUUAACUCUCCAACAAAGAUGGUCCAUGUUAACAAAUAGGGAGCCAAUUGGGAAAAGGUUUGGUUUCGACGGGAUUCUAGAUAGUGCCCACACUUGACGUGCUGGAGAACAUUCAAAAAACACAUGGUUUAUUGAUUCCUCCGGAUCGCCACACCGGGCACAACAAGUGUCUCCUUGUAUCCCUCUUGCUUUAAGGAUUUUCUUAACCGCUAUACAACCGGACACCAACUGCCAAAGAAAAUGCUUUAACUUUGGAGGAUACCGCACUUUCCAGCAAAAUGCUUUGAGAAUAUCUACAUUGGGUCCCUCUUGCUUUAAUGUUUUUAUAGUAAGUUGAUAUACAACCACCAAAAUAUAUGUUGAUGACAACAACAAUAUUCAGUAUAUUAUUAAUGGAAUUUAAAUACUUGUAUAACUUCUUUUUGUAUGUUUAUUUCUAUAUUACAUGAAUUCUAUUUUUUUUAAUAAAUGAUUAUUUUAUAUAAAUGAUUAACCUAAACAGUUAAUAACUUCAUCAAGAAAAAUGUAACUUAAAAAAAUUAAUGAACUAAAAACCGUCGAAAGCCAAGUUAUUUAUCACCAAAAUAUUUUCAAUAUUGAUUAUUCAUAUCUAUAAAUAGGGUUAUCAUCGUUUAUUCAAAUCAGAUCAUAAAUUUAAAAGAAAAUUUCUUAUUUCUAACCUGAGAAUAAUUAAACAGUAACUCCCCAUAUAGCCAAAAACACCAUGGCCAAGCUUAAAGUUAUUAUGGUGUCUUUUGUUAUUCUAGUUGUGGCGAGUACAUGUAUUCCUUCAUUAGCUGUAGAGAAAAAUGAGCCCAAAAAGUUAUGGAAUCAAUGUGUUGUUAAAAUCAGUCCAAAGUGUGCGCUCAAUAUCAUUUCUCAAGUUUUUGGUAGUGGAGUUGUAUCCAUUCCUUGUUGCCAGGAGCUUGUAAAAGAAGGAAAAGAGUGUCAUGACACCCUUGUCAAAUAUAUCGCGGAAAGACCUAGUUUAAUUGGAAACGAAUCCAAAUAUUUACAGAAAAGAGAUGAAGUAUGGGCUCAUUGUGUGUCUGUUUCAAAAGCGUUAUCACCGGCUUAAUUAUAUUAUGACGUAAUUAUAUGUAAUUUUUGAUAAAAUUAUUUGUAUUUGCUUACAAAUUCAAAAUAAAAUUAAUUGUAUUUGCUUGCAAGUUCAAAAUAAAAUCAUUUAUAUAUACAUGUGACAUUUAUUAUUUACCGUCUUGUGUUGCAUGUUUUCUUUAGCAUUAUUUUAUUCUUUUCGAAUUGCAAAUAAAGAGGUAUAUUUCAAAAUAAAUAAAAAAUUAUUUAAAUUUUUUUAUGAACUCACAAUUUUAAUUAGUUUAAAUAGGAAAAUAUCAAAAAGCAGAUUUUAUUUGUAAGCACAAGACUCUAGUCUUUCACGGCUCCAUAAGAUCGCAACAGACUUAUUACACUUAAAAUAUAUCUUGCUAUUGGCCGCACAACGUUUUCCAGAUUAAUUUUUAGAGUUUAUAAAUAUUUACAUAUGUUUUUUAAUUCAGCAAAUUAUAUUCUGAAGUAUGAUUUGAAAAACGAACCAAAUACAAAGGUAGUUGCAUCUCAAAACAGUACAAUAAAGCAUUUUAAAAAGGUCCAUUUUUUACUAAAGUAUCUCAUUCAGAAAUAUAUAUUUUAAUUCAUUAAUUUGUGUAUGUUUAUUUAUGUUAUUAAUAUGUCUAAUAUUAACUUUUCUUGCGAAAUAUAUCUAGUAAUUAAAAUUUUAUGUAAGUCAUAAACUCAUAAAAUCUAAUAUCGCAAGCUUAACUUUGAAACAUCGUUUUCUUUUUUUUUUUUAUAAAACAAAUUAUUAUAUAGAUUUUACAUAUUAUUUUGGAUAAAGAAUUGAAAUUUGUAAAUUUUUAUCCCGAUGGAGUCAUGUUUACCUCAUAACAAUCUCUCUGCAUAAAGAAAUUACAAAAUGAAAAAGAUAAAAUUAUUUGACGGGGGUGCUACAUCACGGAACAAAAAGAAAAUAUAAAAUCUGAAACUCUUUUUAACCUCGGAGUGAUAUACGUUGAUAAAUACUCAGAUAUUAAUAUUAGAAUCAUUUUUGAGACUGAUCACAUGUUAGACUGUACUUUUGGUUUUUGAUAGUAAGUUGAUAUACAACCACCAAAAUAUAUGUUGAUGACAACAACAAUAUUCAGUAUAUUAUUAAUUGGAAUUUAAAUACUUGUAUAACUUCUUUUUGUAUGUUUAUUUCUAUAUUACAAGAAUUCUAAUUUAAUUUUUUUUAUAAUGAUUAUUUUAUAUAAAUGAUAAUCCUAAACAGUUAAUAACUUCAUCAAGAAAAAUGUAACUUAAAAAAAUUAAUGAACUAAAAACUGUCAAAAGCAAAGUUAUUUUUCACCAAAAUAUGUUUAAUAUAGAUUAUUCAUAUCUAUAAAUAGGGUUAUCAUCGUUUAUUCAAAUCAGAUCAUAAAUUUAAAAGCAAUUUUCUUAUUUCUAACCUGAGAAUAAUUAAACAUUAACUCUCCCUAUAGCCAAAAAAACCAUGGCCAAGCUUAACGUUAUUAUGGUGUCUUUUGUUAUUCUAGUUGUGGCGAGUACAUGUAUUCCUUCAUUAGCUGUAGAGGAAAAUGAGCCCAAAAAGUUAUGGAAUCAAUGUGUUGUUAAAAUCAGUCCAAAGUGUGCGCUCAAUAUAAUUUCUCAAGUUUUUGGUAGUGGAGUUGUAUCCAUUCCUUGUUGCCAGGAGCUUGUAAAAGAAGGAAAAGAGUGUCAUGACACCCUUGUCAAAUAUAUCGCGGAAAGACCUAGUUUAAUUGGAAACGAAUCCAAAUAUUUACAGAAAAGAGAUGAAGUAUGGGCUCAUUGUGUGUCUGUUUCAAAAGCGUUAUCACCGGC
This 5330-nucleotide long non-coding RNA is filed under the name Brassica napus (rape). Its description in RNAcentral is "long non-coding RNA (BNAP_LNC020230)". The record is from RNAcentral. Lineage: Eukaryota; Viridiplantae; Streptophyta; Magnoliopsida; Brassicales; Brassicaceae.